This 450-nucleotide ribosomal RNA is filed under the name uncultured bacterium. RNAcentral describes it as "partial 16S ribosomal RNA". It matches the Rfam family "Bacterial small subunit ribosomal RNA", at positions 354 to 796 of the family's 1533-position model. The record is from RNAcentral.
GUGGGGAAUAUUGGACAAUGGGCGAAAGCCUGAUCCAGCCAUGCCGCGUGUGUGAAGAAGGUCUUCGGAUUGUAAAGCACUUUAAGUUGGGAGGAAGGGCAGUAAGUUAAUACCUUGCUGUUUUGACGUUACCAACAGAAUAAGCACCGGCUAACUUCGUGCCAGCAGCCGCGGUAAUACGAAGGGUGCAAGCGUUAAUCGGAAUUACUGGGCGUAAAGCGCGCGUAGGUGGUUCAGCAAGUUGGAGGUGAAAUACCCGGGCUCAACCUGGGAACUGACUCCAAAACUACUGAGCUAGAGUACGGUAGAGGGUAGUGGAAUUUCCUGUGUAGCGGUGAAAUGCGUAGAUAUAGGAAGGAACACCAGUGGCGAAGGCGACUACCUGGACUGAUACUGACACUGAGGUGCGAAAGCGUGGGGAGCAAACAGGAUUAGAAACCCCUGUAGUCC